RNAcentral lists this long non-coding RNA (786 nucleotides) under Canis lupus familiaris (dog). RNAcentral describes it as "lncRNA (ENSCAFG00000039266.3, ENSCAFG00805022200.1, ENSCAFG00845021091.1)". Lineage: Eukaryota; Metazoa; Chordata; Mammalia; Carnivora; Canidae. The record is from RNAcentral.
UGCAAGCAGGAAAUCUUGUCUUGGCACAGUCGUGGUAUGUAGUGCUCAGAGCAGGAGUAACAGGACACACACAUUUGUCUUCUGCUUGCUACUCAUACAACUGUCGUUCCCAACUGUCGCGGAUCCUUCUGGUUGCAGAAUUCCAGCGCUCACAUAGUAACAAGGGAGUCAAAACAGUCCCUCCCUCCUGAGCUCUAAUCGCACAACAGUUUCAUAAUCAUGUUCUCUCAGAAAGUUCCAUGGUCCACCCCUCUGGAACAAAAUAAAAUGAUUUCCAGAAAGAGGGCCUUUGUGGAACCAGCUCACUGCAGUCCAUUCUAGAGUAAAGAAUCUGUGAUUUUGUUGGUUCUACUUCAAAGACUGGUGAAUUUUCUAAUCAGUGAAGAAGACAUUCAGUUGACCCACUCUAGCGUUGGAAGAUCUGCCAUUUAAAGAAUGAAGUGGAAGUAUAUAAAACAUGUAUAGGCUAGCUCAAACUUUAUCCAUGUCCCCUACUCCACCUCAGCUGUACCAGAAGGCUUGUGGAUGAAUGAUAAAGAAUGAUUUGUUAUGGCAUGAAAAUCAUCAUUUCAAGAACUUCUUGGCAGGAGCUAAGUGUUCCCAGGUGCCCUGUAUGCUGGUUGGACAAACUCACAUGGUUUUGGCCACUGAGAGUCUCACUCAGAGCAACUGAGAGAAGCUGUCAGGAGCCCAGAAACUACCCACUGCGGAUACAGAUGAGCUCAGGUACAUGCAGGAUCUGGAGCAUCUGCUAUACUAACCGGAUUAAGCUUCCUUGAAAAAAAU